This 253-nucleotide ribosomal RNA is filed under the name uncultured bacterium. Its description in RNAcentral is "partial 16S ribosomal RNA". It matches the Rfam family "Archaeal small subunit ribosomal RNA", at positions 474 to 727 of the family's 1478-position model. The record is from RNAcentral.
UACCAGCACCCCGAGUGGGCGGGACGUUUAUUGGGCCUAAAGCAUCCGUAGCCGGUUCUACAAGUCUUCCGUUAAAUCCAGCUGCUUAACAGAUGGGCUGCGGAAGAUACUAUGGAGCUAGGAGGCGGGAGAGGCAAGCGGUACUCGAUGGGUAGGGGUAAAAUCCGUUGAUCCAUUGAAGACCACCAGUGGCGAAGGCGGCUUGCCAGAACGCGCUCGACGGUGAGGGAUGAAAGCUGGGGGAGCAAACCGG